AGCGAACGCUGGCGGCAGGCUUAACACAUGCAAGUCGAGCGGGCACUUUCGGGUGUCAGCGGCGGACGGGUGAGUAACGCGUGGGAACGUGCCCUCUGGUUCGGAAUAACUCAGGGAAACUUGAGCUAAUACCGGAUACGCCCUUUUGGGGAAAGGCUCGCUGCCGGAGGAUCGGCCCGCGUCUGAUUAGCUAGUUGGUGAGGUAACGGCUCACCAAGGCGACGAUCAGUAGCUGGUCUGAGAGGAUGAUCAGCCACACUGGGACUGAGACACGGCCCAGACUCCUACGGGAGGCAGCAGUGGGGAAUAUUGGACAAUGGGCGCAAGCCUGAUCCAGCCAUGCCGCGUGAGUGAUGAAGGCCUUAGGGUUGUAAAGCUCUUUUAUCCGGGACGAUAAUGACGGUACCGGAGGAAUAAGCCCCGGCUAACUUCGUG
This 435-nucleotide ribosomal RNA is filed under the name uncultured bacterium. Its description in RNAcentral is "partial 16S ribosomal RNA". It matches the Rfam family "Bacterial small subunit ribosomal RNA", at positions 29 to 507 of the family's 1533-position model. The record is from RNAcentral.